RNAcentral lists this ribosomal RNA (879 nucleotides) under Triticum aestivum (bread wheat). Its description in RNAcentral is "partial small subunit ribosomal RNA". The record is from RNAcentral. Lineage: Eukaryota; Viridiplantae; Streptophyta; Magnoliopsida; Poales; Poaceae.
AUGGGCGAUGGCACCAAGGCGGGAGCGGAGCCCGACGACGCCAUAUUUGAAAGGGACUACCUAGACGACGACAACGAGGAGGAAUUGGAGCCCGAAGUAACCUUAGGUGUCUUGUGGAAACCAAAGGAACCAUGGGACUUUCAUUCUCUUCUCCCCCAGCACUUCCCCAGUAAAGCUGGCGGUGCCCCGGCCUGGCUUGAUCCUGUCAAUUUGCCAUCUGGAAAAUCCAGUUGCUGUGACUUCUGUGGUGACCCAUUGCGUUUUGUCAUGCAGGUAUACGUGCCAGAUGGGUGGAAGGAGACAACCUUCCACCGCGCAUUCUUUGUGUUUAUGUGUCCAUCCAUGUCAUGCUUACAACUAGACCAGCGUGAGCAGGGGAAGGACAAGGCAGCAAAUCCUAGAAGGAGUGUGAAGGUCUUCAGGUGCCAGCUUCCCAGAAUUAAUGCAUUUUAUACUCCUGAAGAGCCUAAGGGGUGCGUGGGAUCACAAUGUUCAGGAGCACACCGAUCUCGGCUUUGUGAUUGGUGUGGUACAUGGAAAGGUGAAAUUUUGUGCAGCCACUGUAGCAAAGCAAGCUACUGUUCUAGGAAGCAUCAGGAAUUGCAUUGGCACGCUAGUCACGAGAACGAUUGCUCUCAAAUACCAGGUUCACCAGAUGCUUCUAUUCUGCCAGUUGCAGCGAAAGUAUUUCCUGGCCACGCAUGGCCUGAAUAUGCGGUGGAUCAUGAACCUGAGCCGUCAUGUUCGACUAGUUCUAUCAAGGAUAAUUCAGAACUGAUGAUGGUAGAAGGAGAAGUUGAAUCAGAUGCUAUGAUGCAGUUAUUCAUGGAUCAGUUUGAGGUUUUCUUCGUGCUGUGGCCUAUGCUUCCAUAUUCGUAG